This 425-nucleotide ribosomal RNA is filed under the name uncultured bacterium. Its description in RNAcentral is "partial 16S ribosomal RNA". It matches the Rfam family "Bacterial small subunit ribosomal RNA", at positions 354 to 796 of the family's 1533-position model. The record is from RNAcentral.
GUGGGGAAUAUUGGACAAUGGGCGAAAGCCUGAUCCAGCAAUGCCGCGUGAGUGAAGAAGGCCUUCGGGUUGUAAAGCUCUUUUACCCGGGAAGAUAAUGACUGUACCGGGAGAAUAAGCCCCGGCUAACUCCGUGCCAGCAGCCGCGGUAAUACGGAGGGGGCUAGCGUUGUUCGGAAUUACUGGGCGUAAAGCGCACGUAGGCGGUCUUUUAAGUCAGAGGUGAAAGCCCGGGGCUCAACUCCGGAAUUGCCUUUGAAACUGGAAGACUUGAACACGGGAGAGGUGAGUGGAAUUCCGAGUGUAGAGGUGAAAUUCGUAGAUAUUCGGAGGAACACCAGUGGCGAAGGCGGCUCACUGGACCGUUGUUGACGCUGAGGUGCGCAAGCGUGGGGAGCAAACAGGAUUAGAUACCCUGGUAGUCC